AUUGAACGCUGGCGGCGUGCCUAACACAUGCAAGUCGAGCGGUAACAGGUGUAGCAAUACAUGCUGACGAGCGGCGAACGGGUGAGUAAUGCUUCGGAAUCUACCCAAUGGUGGGGAUAACCAGCCGAAAGGUUGGCUAAUACCGCAUACGUCCCACGGGAGAAAGCAGGGGAUCGCAAGACCUUGCGCCAAUGGAUGAGCCGAAGUCGGAUUAGCUAGUUGGAGGGUAACGGCCUACCAAGGCGACGAUCCGUAGCUGGUCUGAGAGGACGGACCAGCCACACUGGGACUGAGACACGGCCCAGACUCCUACGGGAGGCAGCAGUGGGGAA
RNAcentral lists this ribosomal RNA (332 nucleotides) under uncultured bacterium. Its description in RNAcentral is "bacterial SSU rRNA". It matches the Rfam family "Bacterial small subunit ribosomal RNA", at positions 29 to 361 of the family's 1533-position model. The record is from RNAcentral.